RNAcentral lists this long non-coding RNA (1762 nucleotides) under Triticum aestivum (bread wheat). RNAcentral describes it as "long non-coding RNA (TAES_LNC025179)". Lineage: Eukaryota; Viridiplantae; Streptophyta; Magnoliopsida; Poales; Poaceae. The record is from RNAcentral.
UGAUGUUCACCAGUAUUUGUUAGGAAAGCUACACGAGGAAAUUUUCAAUAUUCUUGCUCAUGUACACAAUAAAGAGUCAUGUAGAUGAGUCGUUGUGACCUUGCCAUUUCGAUGAGAUCAAUCCGCCGCCUCCGGUGUCGAGGCAAAAAUCACAGAUCGAAACCGUCGUCGCCGCCGAAUACUUGCGCCCACUCCUACCUCGAGGCGACGACGUUGGUGUGGCUGCGUGGGAGAGCGGAGCCAGUUCCUCUCCCUCUAUUUCUAACUGUAGAUUAUCCCUAGGGAGCACUUCAUAAAGAAUGUUCAUGAUAUUCCAAAACAAGAGAUGUUUUUAUCAUAUAAUCCAAAGGAACUGGAUACCUUGUAUAGCACAGAAAGAGUUUGAGCAGUUGGAUUUUUUAUCUCACCUAUGUGUCAAAGUAGUCCAGCUACCUGAUAUUUAUAUUUCUCUAACUACUGCCAAAUCUAAGUGUAAGGCCAUUCUCCCACGUAGGGCAUAAUUAUUCCUGAUGAAACCAUUGUACAUGUAGUAGGCAGGAGCAAGAUGUUAGUUCUAGGUUGCAGACUUCCCAUAGAUAGAUUCAGUAGCAUACUUUAAGAAGGUACUAACUUGCAAGCCCUAUUCUAUGAGAGAAGCGAAUAAGAAAACAGUAAGUAAACUAUACUGUGUGACUUUUAUGUUUUAACAAACAACAAUAAUUCAAGAAAAGAUGUGCUGAGCUUCCAGAAAGAAAAUAUUCAUGCAUUUGUAAAGGUUCAUGAUUGAAUGAGCUUUCAUCCGAAGUGAACAGUGUUUGGUUAACUUUGGACAAAGAAUAAAUCAAGAAAAGAUGUAUUGGAUUUCCAGAAAGAACAUAUUCAUGCAUUUAUAUAGUACAAAAGAGAACCUCCACUGCAAUUGCAAAUUCUAGCGAGCCUAUCCAUACCAUGUUAUCCCAUUUUUAGAAGAGUAAACACCAUUUAGAACCCCAGAAAUUCCACGACAGAAUCUCAAAGGCAAAGGAAAAGGUUUACUUGUCUGAAGAUAAUACGUUCAGAGUUUGUUCUCAACAAACUGAUCUAUGACCCAUACAAACUCACACAGAUGACUGCGUGAGUUAGAGUAUUUGGAUCUAUAUAAACACUUGGUGUGGGUAAGGUGCGCUACUAAUUAGGCUACUAUACUUGUUAUUUCUUUUUGGCGAUGUUGGUAUAGCAUGUGCAUAGCAGUGUUACUGAACUUAUUUUAGCGACAAGACAAGCAGUACAGACGAAUGACAGGUCCAUGUUGCUGGUUAAAAAUAUAAGACACGGCGACCAGUGCACAUUCAAAAACCAGAGCAAGUGUAUGGGUUUCAUAGAUAUUAAUAGGUUGCAUAAACAGGGAAGCAACAGUUUUAUAGGGUAGAAGACUGAUCACAGAGACACGAAAAGUGGUUCAAACUAAGGGGUGUCAGUCACUUAAUUAUAGCAAGUAUUUUCCCUAACAUGGGAAUCUGCUAAGAGUAUAGAUUAACCCUGAAGCAAAUCGAUGGUUAACUUAACUAAAGCUAGCUCCUAUUUUUCUGAACUAAAUAUCAAGUAAAAAGUAGCAGUCACUCAAAUUAUUUGACUAAGAUUUCUUCAUGGGACCCCCUAGUCCAGGGUUGUACCUGAUGUUGAUGGGGAUUGAAUUUGGUUUGUGUAGCUCCGUGUAUUUUUUUCCUCACAGGCAUCGAUCUAGACAGCGGGUGGCGAUAGUCUCAAUCAUGGCGUGCCAGCCCUAGGUGCCUGUGGCAAAGAA